UACGGGGGGGGCAAGCGUUGUUCGGAAUUACUGGGCGUAAAGGGCGCGUAGGCGGUCUGCUAAGUUGGAUGUGAAAACUCUGGGCUUAACCCAGAGCCUGCAUUCAAUACUGACAGGCUAGAGUUCUGGAGGGGAUAGCGGAAUUCCUGGUGUAGCGGUGAAAUGCGUAGAUAUCAGGAGGAACACCGGUGGCGAAGGCGGCUAUCUGGACAGAGUCUGACGCUGAGGCGGCGAAAGCCAGGGGAGCAAACGGG
RNAcentral lists this ribosomal RNA (254 nucleotides) under uncultured bacterium. RNAcentral describes it as "partial 16S ribosomal RNA". It matches the Rfam family "Bacterial small subunit ribosomal RNA", at positions 524 to 776 of the family's 1533-position model. The record is from RNAcentral.